UAGGGAAUCUUCGGCAAUGGGGGGAACCCUGACCGAGCAACGCCGCGUGAGUGAAGAAGGUUUUCGGAUCGUAAAGCUCUGUUGUUAAGGAAGAACAGCGCAUAGAGUAACUGUUAUGCGUGUGACGGUAUCUAACCAGAAAGCCACGGCUAACUACGUGCCAGCAGCCGCGGUAAUACGUAGGUGGCAAGCGUUGUCCGGAUUUAUUGGGCGUAAAGCGAGCGCAGGCGGUCAAUUAAGUCUGAUGUGAAAGCCCCCGGCUCAACCGGGGAGGGUCAUUGGAAACUGGUUGACUUGAGUGCAGAAGAGGAGAGUGGAAUUCCAUGUGUAGCGGUGAAAUGCGUAGAUAUAUGGAGGAACACCAGUGGCGAAGGCGACUCUCUGGUCUGUAACUGACGCUGAGGCUCGAAAGCGUGGGUAGCAAACAGG
RNAcentral lists this ribosomal RNA (429 nucleotides) under Bacteroidota bacterium. RNAcentral describes it as "Bacteroidetes bacterium partial 16S ribosomal RNA". It matches the Rfam family "Bacterial small subunit ribosomal RNA", at positions 355 to 776 of the family's 1533-position model. Lineage: Bacteria; Pseudomonadati; Bacteroidota. The record is from RNAcentral.